This 252-nucleotide ribosomal RNA is filed under the name uncultured bacterium. RNAcentral describes it as "partial 16S ribosomal RNA". It matches the Rfam family "Bacterial small subunit ribosomal RNA", at positions 524 to 776 of the family's 1533-position model. The record is from RNAcentral.
UACGUAGGUCCCGAGCGUUGUCCGGAUUUAUUGGGCGUAAAGCGAGCGCAGGUGGUUUAUUAAGUCUGGUGUAAAAGGCAGUGGCUCAACCAUUGUAUGCAUUGAAAACUGGUAGACUUGAGUGCAGGAGAGGAGAGUGGAAUUCCAUGUGUAGCGGUGAAAUGCGUAGAUAUAUGGAGGAACACCGGUGACGAAAGCGGCUCUCUGGCCUGUAACUGACACUGAGGCUCGAAAGCGUGGGGAGCAAACAGG